CGGGGUGUAGCGCAGCUGGCUAGCGCACCUGCUUUGGGAGCAGGGGGUCGCCGGUUCGAAUCCGGCCACCCCGACCA
RNAcentral lists this transfer RNA (77 nucleotides) under Nitrospinota bacterium. RNAcentral describes it as "tRNA-Pro". It matches the Rfam family "tRNA". Rfam says of the family: Transfer RNA (tRNA) molecules are approximately 80 nucleotides in length. Lineage: Bacteria; Pseudomonadati; Nitrospinota. The record is from RNAcentral.